GCUGAGCAUGGUGGUGCAUGCCUGUAGUCCCAUCUACUUGGGAGGCUGAGACAGGAGGAUUGCUUGAGCCCAGGAGGUUGAGGCUGCAGUGAGCUAUGAUCGAAUCACUGCACUCCAGCCUGGGAGACCAAGCGAGAUCCUGUCUCAA
Homo sapiens (human) is the source of this 148-nucleotide non-coding RNA. It matches the Rfam family "Metazoan signal recognition particle RNA". From Rfam's summary of the family: The signal recognition particle (SRP) is a universally conserved ribonucleoprotein. The record is from Rfam. Lineage: Eukaryota; Metazoa; Chordata; Mammalia; Primates; Hominidae.